GAUGAACGCUGGCGGCGUGCUUAACACAUGCAAGUCGAACGGAAAGGCCCUUGCUUGCAGGGGUACUCGAGUGGCGAACGGGUGAGUAACACGUGGGUGAUCUGCCCUGCACUUCGGGAUAAGCCUGGGAAACUGGGUCUAAUACCGGAUAGGACGAUGGUUUGGAUGCCAUUGUGGAAAGUUUUUCGGUGUGGGAUGAGCUCGCGGCCUAUCAGCUUGUUGGUGGGGUAAUGGCCUACCAAGGCGUCGACGGGUAGCCGGCCUGAGAGGGUGUACGGCCACAUUGGGACUGAGAUACGGCCCAGACUCCUACGGGAGGCAGCAGUGGGGAAUAUUGCACAAUGGGCGCAAGCCUGAUGCAGCGACGCCGCGUGGGGGAUGACGGCCUUCGGGUUGUAAACUCCUUUCGUCAGGGACGAAGCGAAAGUGACGGUACCUGGAUAAGAAGCACCGGCUAACUACGUGCCAGCAGCCGCGGUAAUACGUAGGGUGCGAGCGUUGUC
This 503-nucleotide ribosomal RNA is filed under the name uncultured bacterium. Its description in RNAcentral is "bacterial SSU rRNA". It matches the Rfam family "Bacterial small subunit ribosomal RNA", at positions 28 to 545 of the family's 1533-position model. The record is from RNAcentral.